UACGAAGGGGACUAGCGUUGUUCGGAAUUACUGGGCGUAAAGCGCACGUAGGCGGAUUUGUAAGUCAGGGGGGAAAUCCCGGGGCUCAACCUCGGAACUGCCUUUGAUACUGCAAAUCUCGAGUCCGAUAGAGGUGGGUGGAAUUCCUAGUGUAGAGGUGAAAUUCGUAGAUAUUAGGAAGAACACCGGUGGCGAAGGCGGCCCACUGGAUCGGUACUGACGCUGAGGUGCGAAAGCGUGGGGAGCAAACAGG
This 253-nucleotide ribosomal RNA is filed under the name uncultured bacterium. RNAcentral's name for it is "partial 16S ribosomal RNA". It matches the Rfam family "Bacterial small subunit ribosomal RNA", at positions 524 to 776 of the family's 1533-position model. The record is from RNAcentral.